This 21-nucleotide unclassified non-coding RNA is filed under the name Mus musculus (house mouse). RNAcentral's name for it is "oocyte_clustered_small_RNA8907". The record is from RNAcentral. Lineage: Eukaryota; Metazoa; Chordata; Mammalia; Rodentia; Muridae.
AGUCAAUGUCCUGGUUCUCUG